AACAAGGUUUCCGUAGGUGAACCUGCGGAAGGAUCAUUGUCGAGACCCUCGAAAGACAGACCCGCGAACCCGUUCGACCGUAUAGCCGCGCCCGGCGGCGCGUCCCCGCCCUCCCCGGGGGCGGGCGCGCGCCGGCCCGGGCAACGAACCCCCCGGCGCGGGACGCGCCAAGGAGAACCCCAACGGAGACGGCCCGCCCCCGUUCGCGGGGCGGCGGCCUCUCUCGAGAAGGAACGAAAACGACUCUCGGCAACGGAUAUCUCGGCUCUCGCAUCGAUGAAGAACGUAGCGAAAUGCGAUACUUGGUGUGAAUUGCAGAAUCCCGCGAACCAUCGAGUCUUUGAACGCAAGUUGCGCCCGAAGCCGUCAGGCCGAGGGCACGUCUGCCUGGGCGUCUCGCAACGCGUCGCCCCCCCGCCAGCGCCCGCGGGCGUCGGGGGGGCGGACACUGGCCCCCCGCGGGCUCCCCGCCCGCGGCCGGUCUAAAAGCCGAGUCGCCGGCGACGGACGGCACGACGAGUGGUGGAGUCCCCGACGCGCGCGCGCCCUCUCUCUGGGCGCGCCCCGCGCCGUGCCGUCGCCGCCGGCGCGACCCCGAACGAUCGACCGACCGCGACCCCAGGUCAGGCGGGAUCACCCGCUGAGUUUAAGCAUA
RNAcentral lists this ribosomal RNA (655 nucleotides) under Pachylecythis lanceolata. RNAcentral describes it as "eukaryotic LSU rRNA". The stretch from base 242 to 397 matches the Rfam family "5.8S ribosomal RNA". The record is from RNAcentral. Lineage: Eukaryota; Viridiplantae; Streptophyta; Magnoliopsida; Ericales; Lecythidaceae.